Molecule: ribosomal RNA, 505 nt
Filed under: uncultured organism
Description: SSU rRNA
Rfam family: Bacterial small subunit ribosomal RNA
Source: RNAcentral
AGAGUUUGAUCCUGGCUCAGGAUGAACGCUAGCGGCAGGCCUAAUACAUGCAAGUCGAACGGUAAGGCCCCCUCCGGGGGGUCGAGAGUGGCGGACGGGUGCGUAACGCGUAUGCAACCCACCCCCGACGGGCGCACAGCCGGUGGAAACGCCGGGUAAUGCGCCAUGCGGCCCUUGGGGGGCAUCCCCUUGGGGCCAAGGCGGCGACGCGGUCGGGGACGGGCAUGCGUCCCAUUAGAUAGUUGGCGGGGCGACGGCCCACCAAGUCGACGAUGGCUAGGGGAUCUGAGAGGACGGUCCCCCACACUGGUACUGAGACACGGACCAGACUCCUACGGGAGGCAGCAGUGAGGAAUAUUGGUCAAUGGGCGUGAGCCUGAACCAGCCAAGUAGCGUGCAGGAAGACGGCCCUAUGGGUUGUAAACCCCUUUUGCGCGGGGAUAAACCGGCGGACGCGUCCGCCGCUGCAGGUACCGCGCGAAUAAGGACCGGCUAAUUCCGUGCC